AGAAACUGAUUUGGCUUUGAAACAUAAUGAGUUCAAUCACAGAGAAGAUGAAUCAAAAGUUGGUGCAGCUCUGUAACAAUUAUGACACGAAAAAGGACAGAACUUUGUGGAAUGUAUAAAAUCAUCACAAAAAAAGGAACACAUAUUAAGAAAAGUGCUUUUCAGCCACCAAGUUUCAUAUGGUCUCAUGACACCAGCCUGACCUCCCUGGGCAGACCAUCACACCAAUAUGUCCUGGAAAGCCACCUCUUCAGAGCCCUACUUCACAAGGGAAAGACAGAAACAGGCCAGGAGUAUGGAUCAACCCACUAAACAUCUAUGUUCAAUAGAGAAGCAAAUACAGAAGCCAGACCUUCACUUUCUGCACCCAGUAAGGAUCCAGGUCCAUACUCCCAGAGGAAUAAAGAAUAGGAAAUCUUCCAAUGCAGGCGUUUGGAUGCAGAACUCUGGUCGUGGGAAUUGUAGCCCUAUUAUGCAACGGACAUGGAGAUCAUAAAUAAAACAAAUUAAUAAAUACUUUGAUAGAAAAUAUCUAUCAUAAGGAAGGGA
This is a long non-coding RNA of Erinaceus europaeus (western European hedgehog), 549 nucleotides long. RefSeq lists it as uncharacterized. The transcript is spliced from 2 exons. NCBI's taxonomy places the organism in Eukaryota, Metazoa, Chordata, Mammalia, Eulipotyphla, Erinaceidae. The record is from RefSeq and is a predicted model, not a curated record.